GAUGAACGCUGGCGGCGUGCCUAAUACAUGCAAGUCGAGCGAACGGACGAGAAGCUUGCUUCUCUGAUGUUAGCGGCGGACGGGUGAGUAACACGUGGAUAACCUACCUAUAAGACUGGGAAAAUUUGGGGAAACGGGGGCAAAUACCGGAUAAGAUUUUGAACCGCUUGGUUCAAAAGUGAAAGACGGCCGUGCGGUCACUUAUAGAUGGAUCCGCGCUGCAUUGGCUAGUGGGUAAGGUAACGGCUUACCAAGGCAACGAUGCAUAGCCGACCUGAGAGGGUGAUCGGCCACACUGGAACUGAGACACGGUCCAGACUCCUACGGGAGGCAGCAGUAGGGAAUCUUCCGCAAUGGGCGAAAGCCUGACGGAGCAACGCCGCGUGAGUGAUGAAGGUCUUCGGAUCGUAAAACUCUGUUAUUAGGGAAGAACAUAUGUGUAAGUAACUGUGCACAUCUUGACGGUACCUAAUCAGAAAGCCACGGCUAACUACGUG
Molecule: ribosomal RNA, 497 nt
Filed under: uncultured bacterium
Lineage: Bacteria
Description: partial 16S ribosomal RNA
Rfam family: Bacterial small subunit ribosomal RNA
Source: RNAcentral